Molecule: ribosomal RNA, 278 nt
Filed under: uncultured prokaryote
Description: partial 16S ribosomal RNA
Rfam family: Bacterial small subunit ribosomal RNA
Source: RNAcentral
CACGGGGGUUGCGAGCGUUGUCCGGAAUUACUAGGCGUAAAGGGCAGGCAGGCGGAUCCAUAAGUUUAUCGUUUAAGGCGUCGGCUUAACCGGCGUAGGGCGGUAGAUACUGUGGAUCUGGAAUGCGGUUGGGGAAGACAGAAUUCCUGGUGUAGCGGUGGAAUGCGCAGAGAUCAGGAGGAAUACCGAAGGCGAAGGCAGUCUUCCAAGCCGUUAUUGACGCUCAACUGCGAAGGUGUGGGUGUCAAACAGGAUUAGAUACCCCUGUAGUCCCUGAG